GGCAUGGAAAAACUCCAAGCCUUGCACGUCUUAGGUACUUAAUAAAUGUUAGUUUCCCCUUUUGACCUCCUUUCUUCCCAGUGAAAAUGGAUUGAGUUGCCAAAUCCUGCCAGUGUCAUCGUGUCCCCCAGGGUUCCCCUUUAGUUCAGCAUCUCAUGCAGUGGGGUGCCCUUGCCACUAGUGGUAUGUAAGAGAAUUUUCUGAGUCUGCAGUGCCUCCAUUGGCCCUUUGCCUGUGUAACCAUAUGUUUACCAUUACCCUCUCUCCCUUGCUCGUAACUUCUAACUCAAGUAGCUCGUCUUGCUUGACUGCACAGGCUAUCCCUUUUCUCUCUCACUGUGACCUGGCACCAGGGUUCCCAGACACAGUCUGCCAGACCCUCGGAGCUGCUCCUCCCACACAGAAGUUUGCGAGUCUGUGUGCUGGUCAGAACAUCCUUGUAACAUGAGGAGCACGACUGUGGCUGUCUGAGCUGGAGCUGGGUCACUGCCUCUCAACAGUCACUGUGGAUCAUAACCUCUAUCAAUCCACUCUGAAGAGCUGAUGCAGACUGGAGUCACA
This 561-nucleotide long non-coding RNA is filed under the name Homo sapiens (human). Its description in RNAcentral is "non-protein coding lnc-ACKR3-5:3". The record is from RNAcentral. Lineage: Eukaryota; Metazoa; Chordata; Mammalia; Primates; Hominidae.